AUGGUUGGGGCUGGAUAGAAGGUUCAGUGAUUAAGAGCACUGGCUUCUCUUCCAGAGGACCCAAGUUCAAUUCCCAGCAUCAUAUGGCAGUUCUCAACUGUCUAUAAUUCAGCUCCAAGUGAUUUGACACCCUCAUAUAGACAUAAAUGCAGGCAAAACACCAAUGCACAUAAAAGUAAAUAAAUCAUUU
Peromyscus maniculatus bairdii (prairie deer mouse) is the source of this 190-nucleotide non-coding RNA. Lineage: Eukaryota; Metazoa; Chordata; Mammalia; Rodentia; Cricetidae. The record is from RefSeq and is a predicted model, not a curated record.